RNAcentral lists this ribosomal RNA (508 nucleotides) under uncultured bacterium. RNAcentral describes it as "partial 16S ribosomal RNA". It matches the Rfam family "Bacterial small subunit ribosomal RNA", at positions 29 to 523 of the family's 1533-position model. The record is from RNAcentral.
AGUGAACGCUGGCGGUAGGCCUAACACAUGCAAGUCGAACGGCAGCACAGUAAGAGCUUGCUCUUACGGGUGGCGAGUGGCGGACGGGUGAGGAAUACAUCGGAAUCUACUUUUUCGUGGGGGAUAACGUAGGGAAACUUACGCUAAUACCGCAUACGACCUACGGGUGAAAGCAGGGGAUCUUCGGACCUUGCGCGAUUGAAUGAGCCGAUGUCGGAUUAGCUAGUUGGCGGGGUAAAGGCCCACCAAGGCGACGAUCCGUAGCUGGUCUGAGAGGAUGUUCAGCCACACUGGAACUGAGACACGGGCCAGACUCCUACGGGAGGCAGCAGUGGGGAAUAUUGGACAAUGGGCGCAAGCCUGAUCCAGCCAUACCGCGUGGGUGAAGAAGGCCUUCGGGUUGUAAAGCCCUUUUGUUGGGAAAGAAAUCCAGCCGGCUAAUACCUGGUUGGGAUGACGGUACCCAAAGAAUAAGCACCGGCUAACUUCGUGCCAGCAGCCGCAGUAA